Molecule: ribosomal RNA, 253 nt
Filed under: uncultured bacterium
Lineage: Bacteria
Description: partial 16S ribosomal RNA
Rfam family: Bacterial small subunit ribosomal RNA
Source: RNAcentral
UACGUAGGGGGCUAGCGUUGUCCGGAAUUAUUGGGCGUAAAGCGCGUGUAGGCGGUCCGGUAAGUCUGCUGUGAAAGUCGGGGGCUCAACCCUCGAAUGCCGGUGGAUACUGUCGGACUAGAGUACGGAAGAGGCGAGUGGAAUUCCUGGUGUAGCGGUGAAAUGCGCAGAUAUCAGGAGGAACACCAAUUGCGAAGGCAGCUCGCUGGGACGUUACUGACGCUGAGACGCGAAAGCGUGGGGAGCAAACAGG